Molecule: long non-coding RNA, 1391 nt
Organism: Sander lucioperca (pikeperch)
Lineage: Eukaryota; Metazoa; Chordata; Actinopteri; Perciformes; Percidae
Exons: 3
Source: RefSeq, a predicted model, not a curated record
UUUGCACAGACAUAAGGGCCACAGAGUAUCAUCAAAGAGCCACAAUGAAGUUAUAUGACCGGCCCAUUUAUGCUUCUUAAGCAUCAUUCUGCUUUUGCCCCACCAGAAAGGGACAAGUCCAAAUGAUCUCAAUAUGACAAAAUGCUGAAAGGGAGCGGCAAUAGGGAUCCAACCUUGAAUAAAAUGUGGCCAAGGCAGUCAGUGGGAGCGGGAUAAACGGACGCGCCAAGGAGCUGUGAAGAAGGCCCGGCAAAGUGGUUCUUCCUCUCUGGAAGGAUGUCAGCACUCUGUGCCUGGCCAUCCCUGAGGACGCUUGAUGUCAUCUUGUCUACCUGAUCAUUACACUACCUGCUCUCCUCUACAAUGCUGGCCUCUCUCUGCUCCACCACUUGAAAUGCUUGGCUGGCCUCUUCUCUGAAACCAUCAUGAAAUUGUGUGCUAAAACGCUGCAGACUGUUCCUCCUCUCUCCUCCCUCCAGCCAAGUGUGCAGGAGCCAGAAAAAGAUUCCUCCACUCGGACGACUGCUGCCCAGUCAAAGGGAAAAUGCACAAAACAUCCUUCAGCCGCCUGCCACCGCUCACAGCUCUUAUUUGAGUUAUUGAUGUUGGUAGCAUAUGGCAUUUUACAGCAAUGUUAUUAUAUUCAAUGGACACAUAGCAAGUUGUUUAAAAAAGAGGUGCUUUUGCAGUGUCACAGUAGGAAAAGCGCAGGUGAAAAUAAUAAAAUGAAUGAUGGCUGAAUUGCAAUUGGCUGCUUCAGACUGUCACACUGUCAUUGUUAAUAUUAUUAGUAACAGAUGUGCUUUUCCUCCUAUGAUAAGUGAAAUGGUCUGCUAUGAAAUGUACAAUAGACUGCAGUGGACAAUGCCAAUACUUGAAAGCAGAAGUCACUGCAAAAAUGCACCAAGAACACUGAUAAUGCAAUCAAAAUAUUGCGUCCAUCAUCAUUCAUGAAAAUACUGAUGUAUAAACAUUUUCCUCAACUUUAACACACUGCGAAGGACUGCUUUCAUCUCAUCAAGUGUCUCUUUCAUUCAGUUUAAGCUAUGUGUGAAUGAUCCAGAUAAUAAAGCAAUAAACAACAAAUGUAAAAAUGAUGUACUCUGCAUAUUGAAAGAUAGGUUAAUAUAAGCUUUACAUAAACUUUGGAAUACAUUUUGUUUCAUGUAAGGAGGAUUUUGUCCCCCAUCACUUCCAUUGAAAGUGAAUAAGGAGAGGAUCUGUUACUGGUCAGUAUGAACAUAAUCAGAAUUAGAAUCAGAAUAUGAUUUGUUGCCAAAUAAGUGACACAAGGAAACAGUUUCAAUGUUCAUAUACACCUGACUAUUGUUUUAGAACAGACUUAACAGGUCCUAUUUUUUUUUACAUUUUUACUAGCAAUUAUUUUAAUA